RNAcentral lists this ribosomal RNA (393 nucleotides) under Aegla uruguayana complex sp. 4 Minas do Leao. RNAcentral's name for it is "partial large subunit ribosomal RNA". The record is from RNAcentral. Lineage: Eukaryota; Metazoa; Arthropoda; Malacostraca; Decapoda; Aeglidae.
UUUUAAUUGAAGACUUGUAUGAAUGGUUGAACGAGAAAAUAACUGUCUCUUUAAAAAAUCUUGAAUUUUACUUUUAAGUGAAAAGGCUUAAAUAAUUUUAAGGGACGAUAAGACCCUAUAAAUCUUUAUAUUAUUUUUCUUUAAGUUUCAAAUUAUAUAUUAAAAGAAAACAAAGAAAAAAAUAUUGUAUUGGGGAGAUAAAAAUAUAAUUUUUAACUGUUUUAAAUAAAAAACAAUAAUUUUUGAUUUAUUAAAAAUUGAUCCUUUUUAAAGAUUUUAAGACUAAGUUACUUUAGGGAUAACAGCGUAAUUUUUUUUGAGAGUUCUUAUCGAAAAAAAAGUUUGCGACCUCGAUGUUGAAUUAAAAUAUCCUUAUAAGUGCAGAAGCUAUAA